RNAcentral lists this ribosomal RNA (468 nucleotides) under uncultured bacterium. Its description in RNAcentral is "partial 16S ribosomal RNA". It matches the Rfam family "Bacterial small subunit ribosomal RNA", at positions 28 to 507 of the family's 1533-position model. The record is from RNAcentral.
GACGAACGCUGGCGGCGUGCUUAACACAUGCAAGUCGAACGGAAAGGCCCUGCUUUUGUGGGGUGCUCGAGUGGCGAACGGGUGAGUAACACGUGAGUAACCUGCCCUUGACUUUGGGAUAACUUCAGGAAACUGGGGCUAAUACCGGAUAGGAGCUCCUGCUGAAUGGUGGGGGUUGGAAAGUUUCGGCGGUUGGGGAUGGACUCGCGGCUUAUCAGCUUGUUGGUGGAGUAGUGGCUUACCAAGGCUUUGACGGGUAGCCGGCCUGAGAGGGUGACCGGCCACAUUGGGACUGAGAUACGGCCCAGACUCCUACGGGAGGCAGCAGUGGGGAAUAUUGCACAAUGGGCGGAAGCCUGAUGCAGCAACGCCGCGUGCGGGAUGACGGCCUUCGGGUUGUAAACCGCUUUCGCCUGUGACGAAGCGUGAGUGACGGUAAUGGGUAAAGAAGCACCGACUAACUACGUG